Molecule: ribosomal RNA, 2503 nt
Filed under: human gut metagenome
Description: bacterial LSU rRNA
Rfam family: Bacterial large subunit ribosomal RNA
Source: RNAcentral
AGAGCAUCGGGUGGAUGCCUUGGCGUCGGAAGGCGAUGAAAGACGUGGUAAGCUGCGAAAAGCCUCGGGGAGAAGCUAAACAUUCUGUGAUCCGGGGAUUUCUGAAUGGGGAAACCCGGCGGAGGUCAUGCUCCGUCGCGGGCACUUGAAUACAUAAAGUGUCCAGCGCCAACUCAGGGAAGUGAAACAUCUCAGUACCUGAAGGAAAAGAAAUCAAACGAGACUCCCAAAGUAGCGGCGAGCGAAAUGGGAUGAGCCCAAACCGGCUGGAUUCGUUCAGCCGGGGUUGUAGGGCCGGCAUAUGUGAUUCAUGAGUAGGCAGGGGAAAUGAGCUGGAAAGCUCUGCCAGAGCGGGUGACAGCCCCGUACCUGAAACCCAAAGCGACACAGCCGGUACCUGAGUACCGCGAGACACGUGGAACCUCGUGGGAAUCCGGGAGGACCAUCUUCCAAGGCUAAGUACUAACCGACGACCGAUAGUGUACCAGUACCGUGAGGGAAAGGUGAAAAGAACCUCUGUUAGAGGAGUGAAAUAGAAUCUGAAACCUGGUGCUUACAAGCUGUGAGAGCGGACUUGUUCCGUGAUCACGUGCCUUUUGCAUAAUGAGUCAGCGAGUUAAUCUGUACUGCAAGGUUAAGCGUGAGUGGAGCCGUAGGGAAACCGAGUCUGACAAGGGCGAUGAGUAGUGCGGAUUAGACCCGAAACCGGGUGAUCUAUCCAUGAGCAGGUUGAAGCAAGGGUAAAACCUUGUGGAGGACCGAACCAAUACCGGCUGAAAACGGUUUGGAUGACUUGUGGAUAGGGGUGAAAGGCCAAUCAAACCCGGUGAUAGCUGGUUCUCCCCGAAAUAUAUUGAGGUAUAGCCUCAUGGAUUGUCUACCGGAGGUAAAGCACUGACAGGGCUAGGGGUCCUACCAGAUUACCAAACCCUAUCAAACUCAGAAUGCCGGUCAGAUGUACCAUGGGAGUCAGACGGCGGGUGCUAAGGUCCGUCGUCGAGAGGGUAAGAGCCCAGAUCAACAGCUAAGGUCUCCAAAUCUAUGCUCAGUGGUUAAGGUGGUGACGUUGUAGAGACACCCAGGACGUUGGCUUAGAAGCAGCCAUCGUUUAAAGAAAGCGUAAUAGCUCACUGGUCUAAUGACGUUGCGCCGAAAAUGUAACGGGGCUAAGCAUAGUACCGAAGCUUUGAAUUCCGCGAAUGCGGUCUGGUAGGGGAGCGUUCUUCACGGGCUGAAGGUGUGUCGUAAGGCAUGCUGGACUGUGGAGAAGUGAUUAUGCUGACAUGAGUAACGAUAAAACGGGUGAAAAACCCGUUCGCCGUAAACCCAAGGUUUUCCGGGUAAAGGUAAUCUUCCCGGAGUUAGUCGGCCCCUAAGGCGAGGCUGAAAGGCGUAGCUGAUGGGAAACGUGUUAAUAUUCACGUACUUGUGUGUUCGCGCGAUGAAGGGACGCAGGAAGAUAGGCAAGCCGGGCGCUGGUUGUCCCGGUGCAAGCGUGUAGGGAUGAGAAGUUGGCAAAUCCGCUUCUCUUUAUCCUGAGACGCGAGUCCGUGACCGAAAGGUCUGAAGUUGUUGAGUCUAUGCUGCCUAGAAAAGCUUCUAAGUAUAGGACACGCAAACCGUACCGGAAACCAACUCAGGUGGGUGGGAUGAAUAAUCCAAGGCGCUCGAGAGAACUCUGGCCAAGGAACUCGGCAAAAUAACCCCGUACCUUCGGAAGAAGGGGUGCUUUUUAGGGUGAAGCGAUUCACUCUGUCGAGCCCUGAAAAGCCGCAGAGAAAUGGUGGUGGCGACUGUUUACUAAAAACAUAGGUCUGUGCCAAGUCGUAUAGACGACGUAUACGGACUGACGCCUGCCCGGUGCUGGAAGGUUAAAAGGAGAUGUGCAAGCAUUGAAUUGAAGCCCCAGUGAACGGCGGCCGUAACUAUAACGGUCCUAAGGUAGCGAAAUUCCUUGUCAGGUAAGUUCUGACCCGCAUGAAAGGCGUAAUGAUUUGGGCACUGUCUCAACAGCCCGCCCGGCGAAAUUGUAGUACCGGUGAAGAUGCCGGUUACCCGCGACAAGACGGAAAGACCCCAUGGAGCUUUACUGUAGCCUAAUAUUGGGUUUCGAUGUUGCAUGCACAGGAUAGAUGGGACACAGGGAAACAAGUGCUUUGGCAUUUGUGGAGUGGCCGUUGGGAUACCAUCCUUGCGAUAUUGGAAUUCUAACCUGCGCCUUUGAAUCAAGGCGGGGGACAUUGUUAGGUGGGCAGUUUGACUGGGGCGGUCGCCUCCUAAAGAGUAACGGAGGCGUUCAAAGGUUCGCUCAGCUUGAACGGAAAUCAAGCAAAAGAGUGCAAACGCAGAAGCGAGCCUAACUGCGAGACUGACGGGUCGAGCAGUAACGAAAGUUGGAGUUAGUGAUCCGGUGGUAUGUGAGUGGAAAUGCCAUCGCUCAACGGAUAAAAGUUACCCUGGGGAUAACAGGCUGAUCUCCCCCAAGAGUCCACAUCGACGGGGA